Molecule: ribosomal RNA, 253 nt
Filed under: uncultured bacterium
Lineage: Bacteria
Description: partial 16S ribosomal RNA
Rfam family: Bacterial small subunit ribosomal RNA
Source: RNAcentral
UACGAAGGGGGCUAGCGUUGCUCGGAAUCACUGGGCGUAAAGCGCACGUAGGCGGAUUGCUAAGUCAGGGGUGAAAUCCUGGAGCUCAACUCCAGAACUGCCUUUGAUACUGAAGAUCUUGAGUUCGGGAGAGGUGAGUGGAACUGCGAGUGUAGAGGUGAAAUUCGUAGAUAUUCGGAGGAACACCAGUGGCGAAGGCGGCGCACUGGUCCGGUACUGACGCUGAGGUGCGAAAGCGUGGGGAGCAAACAGG